Long non-coding RNA from Hippocampus zosterae (dwarf seahorse), 297 nucleotides. RefSeq lists it as uncharacterized. The transcript has 2 exons. NCBI's taxonomy places the organism in Eukaryota, Metazoa, Chordata, Actinopteri, Syngnathiformes, Syngnathidae. The record is from RefSeq and is a predicted model, not a curated record.
CAUCGCUCCUCCUUCCUGCUGGCGCCGCUGACGAUGACGUAGUCGCAGGCGGCCGGAUCCGUCUGCAUCUCGAUGUGGUUGACGCACAGGUGGCAUUUCAUACGGAACCUGCCAAGAAGCCGGAUUGAAAUUUUCGAAAAAAUUGCGGCCCGCACCGCCCGCACUCCUCGUUCGCCCUCACCUGUAUAUUGGCGUGGUGAAAUAGUUGCCCACUUUCUUCUUCUCCGCAUUGUACCGGACGCCUGAGCGACAAAAACGAUGAACUGUGAGAAUGACGAGAGGGUACAUAUUCGGGGG